This 324-nucleotide ribosomal RNA is filed under the name uncultured eukaryote. RNAcentral describes it as "partial 18S ribosomal RNA". It matches the Rfam family "Eukaryotic small subunit ribosomal RNA", at positions 1470 to 1796 of the family's 1831-position model. The record is from RNAcentral.
CCCUUAGAUGUUCUGGGCCGCACGCGCGCUACACUGAUGCAUUCAACGAGUUUCUUCCUGGUCCGAGAGGAAUGGGUAACCUUUUGAAAGUGCAUCGUGGUAGGGAUAGACUAUUGCAAUUAUUGGUCUUCAACGAGGAGUUCCUAGUAGACGUAGUUCAUCAGACUGCGUCGAUUACGUCCCUGCCCUUUGUACACACCGCCCGUCGCUCCUACCGAUUGAAUGCUCAGGUGAGCCAUUCGGACUUUCAUCAUGCUGGUUUCCAGUUUUGAUGAAGGAAAGUCUUGCGAACCUUAUCAUUUAGAGGAAGGAGAAGUCGUAACA